RNAcentral lists this ribosomal RNA (500 nucleotides) under uncultured bacterium. RNAcentral describes it as "partial 16S ribosomal RNA". It matches the Rfam family "Bacterial small subunit ribosomal RNA", at positions 30 to 523 of the family's 1533-position model. The record is from RNAcentral.
AUUGAACGCUGGCGGAAUGCUUUACACACGCAAGUCGAACGGCAGCACGGACUUCGGUCUGGUGGCGAGUGGCGAACGGGUGAGUAAUGUAUCGGAACGUGCCCAGUCGUGGGGGAUAACGUAGUGAAAAUUACGCUAAUACCGCAUACGAUCUAUGGAUGAAAGCGGGGGAUCGCAAGGCCUCGCGCGAUUGGAGCGGCUGGUAUCAGAUUAGGUAGUUGGUGGGGUAAAGGCCCACCAAGCCAACGAUCUGUAGCUGGUCUGAGAGGACGACCAGCCACACUGGAACUGAGACACGGUCCAGACUCCUACGGGAGGCAGCAGUGGGGAAGUUCGGACAAUGGGCGAAAGCCUGAUCCAGCCAUUCCGCGUGCAGGAUGAAGGCCCUCGGGUUGUAAACUGCUUUUGUACAGAACGAAAAGGUUUCUACUAAUACUAGGAGCUCAUGACGGUACUGUAAGAAUAAGCACCGGCUAACUACGUGCCAGCCGCCGCCGUAA